This 212-nucleotide long non-coding RNA is filed under the name Anser brachyrhynchus (Pink-footed goose). Its description in RNAcentral is "lncRNA (ENSABRG00000016727.1)". The record is from RNAcentral. Lineage: Eukaryota; Metazoa; Chordata; Aves; Anseriformes; Anatidae.
AUGAAAUUACAGGAACAAAAAAGCGUUGCUCUGGGUAGAUGUCACCAGUAUUUACACUUUCUCUGCAAGGGACAAAUGUCAUGGAAACAGCCCCGGAGAAGAGCAGCUUAAUUCAGUGUGGUGUUAGUAAAAGAAGCGCAGGAAACUUGAAGUUGACCUCUUGAUCUUCCAGCCGUAAGUUUAAAAUAAAAUCUUUCUGAUUGUUUCCUCCA